GAUGAACGCUGGCGGCGUGCCUAAUACAUGCCAGUCGAGCGAACAGACGAGGAGCUUGCUCCUCUGACGUUAGCGGCGGACGGGUGAGUAACACGUGGAUAACCUACCUAUAAGACUGGGAUAACUUCGGGAAACCGGAGCUAAUACCGGAUAAUAUAUUGAACCGCAUGGUUCAAUAGUGAAAGACGGUUUUGCUGUCACUUAUAGAUGGAUCCGCGCCGCAUUAGCUAGUUGGUAAGGUAACGGCUUACCAAGGCGACGAUGCGUAGCCGACCUGAGAGGGUGAUAGGCCACACUGGAACUGAGACACGGUCCAGACUACUACGGGAGGCAGCAGUAGGGAAUCUUCCGCAAUGGGCGAAAGCCUGACGGAGCAACGCUGCGUGAGUGAUGAAGGUCUUCGGAUCGUAAAACUCUGUUAUUAGGGAAGAACAAAUGUGUAAGUAACUAUGCACGUCUUGACGGUACCUAAUCAGAAAGCCACGGCUAACUACGUG
This 497-nucleotide ribosomal RNA is filed under the name uncultured bacterium. Its description in RNAcentral is "partial 16S ribosomal RNA". It matches the Rfam family "Bacterial small subunit ribosomal RNA", at positions 28 to 507 of the family's 1533-position model. The record is from RNAcentral.